CGAGCGCAACCCUUGUGACUAGUUGCCAGCGCGUAAUGGCGGGAACUCUAGUCAGACUGCCCAGAUCAACUGGGAGUAAGGUGGGGACGACGUCAGGUCAGUAUGGCCCUUACGCCUUGGGCUGCACACGUACUACAAUGCCCAGCACAAUGAGAACCGAUACCGCGAGGUGGAGGAAAUGUAUAAAACUGGGCCCAGUUCGGAUUGGAGGCUGCAACUCGCCUCCAUGAAGUUGGAAUCGCUAGUAAUGGCGCAUCAUCUACGGCGCCGUGAAUACGUUCCCGGGUCUUGUACACACCGCCC
Molecule: ribosomal RNA, 303 nt
Filed under: uncultured verrucomicrobium DEV278
Lineage: Bacteria; Pseudomonadati; Verrucomicrobiota
Description: bacterial SSU rRNA
Rfam family: Bacterial small subunit ribosomal RNA
Source: RNAcentral